RNAcentral lists this ribosomal RNA (406 nucleotides) under uncultured bacterium. RNAcentral describes it as "partial 16S ribosomal RNA". It matches the Rfam family "Bacterial small subunit ribosomal RNA", at positions 29 to 526 of the family's 1533-position model. The record is from RNAcentral.
AUUGAACGCUGGCGGCAGGCCUAACACAUGCAAGUCGAACGAGUGGCGGACGGGUGAGUAAUGUCUGGGAAACUGCCCGAUGGAGGGGGAUAACUACUGGAAACGGUAGCUAAUACCGCCUACCAUCGGAUGUGCCCAGAUGGGAUUAGCUUGUAGGUGAGGUAACGGCUCACCUAGGCGACGAUCCCUAGCUGGUCUGAGAGGAGGACCAGCCACACGGGAACUGAGACACGGUCCAGACUCCUACGGGAGGCAAAAGUGGGGAAUAGUGGACAAGGGGCGAAAGCCUGAUGCAGCAAGGACGGGUGUAUGAAGAAGGCCUGGGGGUUGUAAAGUACGUUCAGCGGGGAGGCGUUACCCGCAGAAGAAGCACCGGCUAACUACGUGCCAGCAGCCGCGGUAAUAC